UAAGCCCAGCCGACGCCGGCCGCUCCUGCAGCAGACUCAGCAAAGACCUGAAACUCGUAUUUCAAAGCAGGUGGAGGGGGGGGGGGGCUGCAACAGCAGAAGCCCACAUUUUAUAACUAAGCUCCCGUGCACUUUCCUGCCCUGCCUAGGACCUGCCCCAUCUAAGUCAGCGGCACAGGAGCACGGGAAAGUGAGUCCGGAGACUUCGUCCGAUGUGGAAACUCAGCCUGUUGUCUCCAGGGUGCCUUGGAUGGAUUAGCCUGAUAAGGUAAACCUAGGAGCCGCUUGGAUUUCUAGGAAGAGCCUUAGAAGCAUGUGGACGGGAAAAGGGAGAAUGGCCUUAAGCAAAUGAGAAUUUUGUUGGAAUUCCUGCUUCACAGUUGGCGAGAGUUUUCCACCAGACUCUGGCUCGAGGCUGGACCUGACUUAUCCCUGGAUUAAUCCGGUUCUGAAGACAGGGGCCAUGGAGCUCACUCCUGUGCUACGGUGAGGACAUUGAGAACCUGGGGAUCAUCUGUGCCACCCUGGCCUGAAGACUGAGUCUGUGGAAGCCUUGGAGUGGGCUUCGAGUUUGGAGCCUGUGGGGCCAAGAAUCAGCCUGGUAAUUAGGUAGGCUUGGAGGGCCAGGGUGUGGGUACUGUCCUGAAGUCUUGGUCUGAGGGAACCAGACCAGCAUGGAGUUUACUGGGACAGGCCCAGUGUCUUCAUGCAAGCAAUUGUCACUGCUGACAUACUUACUCCUUUGCUACUGGAAGGGAUGUCUCUCCAGUCAUACUUUUGGGAUGGAGAGGGAGGAUGGGUGAAAACCUGUUAUUCCUCCUCCACUCAGGUGUGAUCACUCGUGUGGUUUCCUUGGUUCUUGAGGCAUUUUCCCAUGUAGAUAGUUCAAAUUGGU
Long non-coding RNA from Arvicola amphibius (Eurasian water vole), 895 nucleotides. RefSeq lists it as uncharacterized. The transcript has 3 exons. The record is from RefSeq and is a predicted model, not a curated record. Lineage: Eukaryota; Metazoa; Chordata; Mammalia; Rodentia; Cricetidae.